Molecule: ribosomal RNA, 544 nt
Filed under: uncultured Glomus
Lineage: Eukaryota; Fungi; Glomeromycota; Glomeromycetes; Glomerales; Glomeraceae
Description: SSU rRNA
Rfam family: Eukaryotic small subunit ribosomal RNA
Source: RNAcentral
UUGGAGGGCAAGUCUGGUGCCAGCAGCCGCGGUAAUUCCAGCUCCAAUAGCGUAUAUUAAAGUUGUUGCAGUUAAAAAGCUCGUAGUUGAAUUUCGGGGUUAGUAGGUUGGUCAUGCCUCUGGUAUGUACUGGUCUCACUGAUUCCUCCUUCCUGAUGAACCGUAAUGCCAUUAAUUUGGUGUUGCGGGGAAUUUGGACUGUUACUUUGAAAAAAUUAGAGUGUUUAAAGCAAGCUAACGCUUGAAUACAUUAGCAUGGAAUAAUGAAAUAGGACGUUCGAUCCUACUUUGUUGGUUUCUAGGAUUGACGUAAUGAUUAAUAGGGAUAGUUGGGGGCAUUAGUAUUCAAUUGUCAGAGGUGGAAUUCUUGGAUUUAUUGAAGACUAACUACUGCGAAAGCAUUUGCCAAGGAUGUUUUCAUUAAUCAGGAACGAAAGUUAGGGGAUCGAAGACGAUCAGAUACCGUCGUAGUCUUAACCAUAAACUAUGCCGACUAGGGAUCGGACGGUGUUAUUUUUGACCCGUUCGGCACCUUACGGGAAAC